AUCAGUUCUUCUGGGGCGAGAGAGUACAUCAAAAUUUGAAUAAUACGUAGAAGUCCAUAUCAGGACAAUUAUGCAGUUCCUUGAUACCACCAAGAGCCCAAGAGAUAAGUCAAUACUAGAUACUAGGCACCCUGACUUGUGAUUCACGAUGCUUUACCAAACACUCCAAAACACAACACGCAGGAAAAAGAAAAGAAAAAUGGCCAACUCAGGCUCCAAUGUUUCUUAAAAGAGAUUGCCACCAAGGCCUUUAUGCAACAUAUUGACCAUAAUUCGAGAAAGAUGACAAAAAUGCAUGUAGUGGGGGAGAAAGAACUUGCAGCUGUCCGUACUUCACUGUGUGGCCAAGUUGGGCUAUAGGGCUUUGACCCAAAACCUUCUAGCUCCAUUUUUAUAAGUUUAAUGAUCUUCUGCAAGACAAAGUUCUCCUGUAAGAGGGAUUCGGGUGAAUCCAUCUGUAGGAUCAGCACCACAAAGUUGGAGAGGCUCCAACAAAGAACUUACAAAAAUGCAAGAAUAGAGCUCUGUAGUACUAGAAAUUGGUAUUCACUUUCAUGUUCUAUUUUGUAUCUAUUCUAAAUAUUGGAGUUAUUAGAAGCUGAAGUUGUCAUGAAAA
Long non-coding RNA from Juglans microcarpa x Juglans regia, 616 nucleotides. RefSeq lists it as uncharacterized. The record is from RefSeq and is a predicted model, not a curated record. NCBI's taxonomy places the organism in Eukaryota, Viridiplantae, Streptophyta, Magnoliopsida, Fagales, Juglandaceae. The transcript is spliced from 2 exons.